Molecule: ribosomal RNA, 484 nt
Filed under: uncultured bacterium
Lineage: Bacteria
Description: partial 16S ribosomal RNA
Rfam family: Bacterial small subunit ribosomal RNA
Source: RNAcentral
GACGAACGCUGGCGGCGUGCUUAACACAUGCAAGUCGAACGAUGAAGCCGGAGCUUGCUCUGGUGAAUUAGUGGCGAACGGGUGAGUAACACGUGAGUAAGCUGCCCUUGACUCUGGGAUAACUGCGGGAAACUGUAGCUAAUACCGGAUACGACCCUCGGAGGCAUCUCCUGGGGGUGGAAAGAAUUUCGGUCAAGGAUGGACUCGCGGCCUAUCAGCUAGUUGGUGAGGUAAAGGCUCACCAAGACGACGACGGGUAGCCGGCCUGAGAGGGUGACCGGCCACACUGGGACUGAGACACGGCCCAGACUCCUACGGGAGGCAGCGGUGGGGAAUAUUGCACAAUGGGCGCAAGCCUGAUGCAGCAACGCCGCGUGAGGGAUGACGGCCUUCGGGUUGUAAACCUCUUUUAGCAGGGAAGAAGCGAAAGUGACGGUACCUGCAGAAAAAGCACCGGCUAACUACGUGCCAGCCGCCGCCGUAA